CCGUACACUUUAAAAUGGUUAUGAUGCUAAAUUUUAUGAUAUGCAUUUUUUACCACAAUAAAAAAAAUUUUUUUUUAAGAAACAAAAGAAGCCCUGCUGCUGAGGAAAGUAGUUUCUGGCUCCUCAAAAGGUAAACACGGCACUACCGUGAGCCCCAGCAGUUCUGUUCCCAGGUGUGUAUCUAAAAGAAUUGAAUACAGAAGUUCAUACAAAAACUGUACGUGAAUUUAUCACAUCGUUAUUCACAAUAGCCAAAAAGUGGAAACAACCAAACACUGCCAUAUAUACCAUAUGGUAUACCCAUAUGGUGCAAUAUUAUUCAGCCAUAAAAAAAGGAAGUGCGGAUGCAUGUUAUGACAUUGGAUGAACCUUGAAAACAUGAUGCUAAGUGUAAGAAGCCAGACACAAAAGACCACACAUGCUAUGAUGUCAUGUAUACGACAUGUCCAGAAUAAGCGAAUCCAAGGAGAAGAUUCCAUGCAGAUUACGUAUAGCAGAUUCCUGGUUGCCAAGGAGCCGGGCAGAAUAGGGAGUGACUGCUUACUGGGUCUGGGCUUUUGUUUUGGGAGGGAAGUAUUCUGAAAUUAGAUAGAAGUAAUGGUUGUGUAACAAAGUCAAUGUUAAAAGAGCCACCAAAUUAUAUUUUUAAGUGGUUAAAAUGGUGAAUUUUAUGAUGUGUGAAUGUUACCUCAGGUUAAAGAAAAAAAAAAAGAAGUCCUCAGGCACUAAAGGUUGGCAACCAUGGCUGUAAUCCAGCCCCCACAUUUUCAUAGCUGGGGAAGCAGAUGCACACUGAAAUGACUUUCUGGAGGGCCAUGGCUGCAGUACUCGAGGACAGCAGGACCACUCGGGGAGGUGAGGAGAGAGACAUUAGUUGGAUGCCAUCCACUGCCAACAGCAGAUGACCCCGGCGCAGAUGGGC
This is a long non-coding RNA of Aethalodelphis obliquidens (Pacific white-sided dolphin), 922 nucleotides long. RefSeq lists it as uncharacterized. Lineage: Eukaryota; Metazoa; Chordata; Mammalia; Artiodactyla; Delphinidae. The transcript has 2 exons. The record is from RefSeq and is a predicted model, not a curated record.